RNAcentral lists this ribosomal RNA (497 nucleotides) under uncultured bacterium. Its description in RNAcentral is "partial 16S ribosomal RNA". It matches the Rfam family "Bacterial small subunit ribosomal RNA", at positions 28 to 507 of the family's 1533-position model. The record is from RNAcentral.
GAUGAACGCUGGCGGCGUGCCUAAUACAUGCAAGUCGAGCGAACGGACGAGAAGCUUGCUUUUCUGAUGUUAGCGGCGGACGGGUGAGUAACACGUGGAUAACCUACCUAUAAGACUGGGAUAACUUCGGGAAACCGGAGCUAAUACCGGAUAAUAUUUUGAACCGCAUGGUUCAAAAGUGAAAGACGGUCUUGCUGUCACUUAUAGAUGGAUCCGCGCUGCAUUAGCUAGUUGGUAAGGUAACGGCUUACCAAGGCAACGAUGCAUAGCCGACCUGAGAGGAUGAUCGGCCACACUGGAACUGAGACACGGUCCAGACUCCUACGGGAGGCAGCAGUAGGGAAUCUUCCGCAAUGGGCGAAAGCCUGACGGAGCAACGCCGCGUGAGUGAUGAAGGUCUUCGGAUCGUAAAACUCUGUUAUUAGGGAAGAACAUAUGUGCAAGUAACUGUGCACAUCUUGACGGUACCUAAUCAGAAAGCCACGGCUAACUACGUG